RNAcentral lists this ribosomal RNA (138 nucleotides) under uncultured eukaryote. Its description in RNAcentral is "partial 18S ribosomal RNA". It matches the Rfam family "Eukaryotic small subunit ribosomal RNA", at positions 1299 to 1458 of the family's 1831-position model. The record is from RNAcentral.
UGGUGGAGUGAUUUGUCUGGUUAAUUCCGUUAACGAACGAGACCUCAGCCUGCUAAUUAGUUGGACCAAUGUUUCAUUGGGCUCGACUUCUUAGAGGGACUAUCGGUUUUCAACCGAGGGAAGUAUGAGGCAAUAACA